UACGGGGGGGGCAAGCGUUGUUCGGAAUUACUGGGCGUAAAGGGCUCGUAGGCGGCCAACUAAGUCAGACGUGAAAUCCCUCGGCUUAACCGGGGAACUGCGUCUGAUACUGGCUGGCUUGAGUGUGGGAGAGGAAUGCGGAAUUCCAGGUGUAGCGGUGAAAUGCGUAGAUAUCUGGAGGAACACCGGUGGCGAAGGCGGCAUUCUGGACCAUUACUGACGCUGAGGAGCGAAAGCCAGGGGAGCAAACAGG
RNAcentral lists this ribosomal RNA (253 nucleotides) under uncultured bacterium. RNAcentral describes it as "partial 16S ribosomal RNA". It matches the Rfam family "Bacterial small subunit ribosomal RNA", at positions 524 to 776 of the family's 1533-position model. The record is from RNAcentral.